RNAcentral lists this ribosomal RNA (947 nucleotides) under Salmonella enterica. RNAcentral describes it as "partial 23S ribosomal RNA". It matches the Rfam family "Bacterial large subunit ribosomal RNA", at positions 1211 to 2141 of the family's 2925-position model. The record is from RNAcentral. Lineage: Bacteria; Pseudomonadati; Pseudomonadota; Gammaproteobacteria; Enterobacterales; Enterobacteriaceae.
ACUCAGGUGUUGUUGGGUAGGGGAGCGUUCUGUAAGCCUGUGAAGGUGGCCUGUGAGGGUUGCUGGAGGUAUCAGAAGUGCGAAUGCUGACAUAAGUAACGAUAAAGCGGGUGAAAAGCCCGCUCGCCGGAAGACCAAGGGUUCCUGUCCAACGUUAAUCGGGGCAGGGUGAGUCGACCCCUAAGGCGAGGCCGAAAGGCGUAGUCGAUGGGAAACGGGUUAAUAUUCCCGUACUUGGUGUUACUGCGAAGGGGGGACGGAGAAGGCUAUGUUGGCCGGGCGACGGUUGUCCCGGUUUAAGCGUGUAGGUGUGUGUUCCAGGUAAAUCCGGUUCACUUUAACACUGAGGCGUGAUGACGAGGCACUACGGUGCUGAAGCAACAAAUGCCCUGCUUCCAGGAAAAGCCUCUAAGCAUCAGGUAACAUCAAAUCGUACCCCAAACCGACACAGGUGGUCAGGUAGAGAAUACCAAGGCGCUUGAGAGAACUCGGGUGAAGGAACUAGGCAAAAUGGUGCCGUAACUUCGGGAGAAGGCACGCUGACACGUAGGUGAAGUGAUUUACUCAUGGAGCUGAAGUCAGUCGAAGAUACCAGCUGGCUGCAACUGUUUAUUAAAAACACAGCACUGUGCAAACACGAAAGUGGACGUAUACGGUGUGACGCCUGCCCGGUGCCGGAAGGUUAAUUGAUGGGGUCAGCGCAAGCGAAGCUCCUGAUCGAAGCCCCGGUAAACGGCGGCCGUAACUAUAACGGUCCUAAGGUAGCGAAAUUCCUUGUCGGGUAAGUUCCGACCUGCACGAAUGGCGUAAUGAUGGCCAGGCUGUCUCCACCCGAGACUCAGUGAAAUUGAACUCGCUGUGAAGAUGCAGUGUACCCGCGGCAAGACGGAAAGACCCCGUGAACCUUUACUAUAGCUUGACACUGAACAUUGAGCCUUGAUGUGUAG